Molecule: ribosomal RNA, 413 nt
Filed under: Babesia cf. lengau ex Hyaenidae JK-2021
Lineage: Eukaryota; Apicomplexa; Aconoidasida; Piroplasmida; Babesiidae
Description: SSU rRNA
Rfam family: Eukaryotic small subunit ribosomal RNA
Source: RNAcentral
GACACAGGGAGGUAGUGACAAGAAAUAACAAUACAGGGCUAAUGUCUUGUAAUUGGAAUGAUGGUGACCCAAACCCUCACCAGAGUAGCAAUUGGAGGGCAAGUCUGGUGCCAGCAGCCGCGGUAAUUCCAGCUCCAAUAGCGUAUAUUAAACUUGUUGCAGUUAAAAAGCUCGUAGUUGUAUUUUAGCGUUUCCGUCUUUGCCUGUAUUGGCGUUUUCGGGUUCGCUUUUGGGAUUUCCCUUUUUACUUUGAGAAAAUUAGAGUGUUUCAAGCAGACUUUUGUCUUGAAUACUUCAGCAUGGAAUAAUAGAGUAGGACUUUGGUUCUAUUUUGUUGGUUAUUGAACCUUAGUAAUGGUUAAUAGGAACGGUUGGGGGCAUUCGUAUUUAACUGUCAGAGGUGAAAUUCUUAG